RNAcentral lists this ribosomal RNA (249 nucleotides) under Thermoprotei archaeon. RNAcentral describes it as "partial 23S ribosomal RNA". It matches the Rfam family "Archaeal large subunit ribosomal RNA", at positions 2774 to 2975 of the family's 2987-position model. The record is from RNAcentral. Lineage: Archaea; Thermoproteati; Thermoproteota; Thermoprotei.
GGCCUCUAGUCUACCGGUUGUCCGGCAGGGCACUGCCGGGCAGCCACGCCGCAGGGGAUAAGGGCUGAAGGCAUCUAAGCCCGAAGCCCUCCCCGAGACGAGGCGGCCAUUCCCGGUCAUUGGGGACCUGGCGACAGGUCCUUGGACCGGGACGAGGGCGCCCGUAGAAGACGGGGUUGAUGGGGUGGCGGUGUAAGCGCCGAGGUCCUCUGGACCGAGGCGUGAGCCGGCCACUCCCAAUAGCCCGAG